ACACUAUCAUUAACUGAAUCCAUAGGUUAAUGAGGCGAACCGGGGGAACUGAAACAUCUAAGUACCCCGAGGAAAAGAAAUCAACCGAGAUUCCCCCAGUAGCGGCGAGCGAACGGGGAGGAGCCCAGAGCCUGAAUCAGUGUGUGUGUUAGUGGAAGCGUCUGGAAAGGCGCGCGAUACAGGGUGACAGCCCCGUACACAAAAAUGCACAUAUUGUGAGCUCGAUGAGUAGGGCGGGACACGUGGUAUCCUGUCUGAAUAUGGGGGGACCAUCCUCCAAGGCUAAAUACUCCUGACUGACCGAUAGUGAACCAGUACCGUGAGGGAAAGGCGAAAAGAACCCCGGCGAGGGGAGUGAAAAAGAACCUGAAACCGUGUACGUACAAGCAGUGGGAGCCUCUUUAUGGGGUGACUGCGUACCUUUUGUAUAAUGGGUCAGCGACUUAUAUUCUGUAGCAAGGUUAACCGAAUAGGGGAGCCGAAGGGAAACCGAGUCUUAACUGGGCGUUAAGUUGCAGGGUAUAGACCCGAAACCCGGUGAUCUAGCCAUGGGCAGGUUGAAGGUUGGGUAACACUAACUGGAGGACCGAACCGACUAAUGUUGAAAAAUUAGCGGAUGACUUGUGGCUGGGGGUGAAAGGCCAAUCAAACCGGGAGAUAGCUGGUUCUCCCCGAAAGCUAUUUAGGUAGCGCCUCGUGAAUUCAUCUCCGGGGGUAGAGCACUGUUUCGGCAAGGGGGUCAUCCCGACUUACCAACCCGAUGCAAACUGCGAAUACCGGAGAAUGUUAUCACGGGAGACACACGGCGGGUGCUAACGUCCGUCGUGAAGAGGGAAACAACCCAGACCGCCAGCUAAGGUCCCAAAGUCAUGGUUAAGUGGGAAACGAUGUGGGAAGGCCCAGACAGCCAGGAUGUUGGCUUAGAAGCAGCCAUCAUUUAAAGAAAGCGUAAUAGCUCACUGGUCGAGUCGGCCUGCGCGGAAGAUGUAACGGGGCUAAACCAUGCACCGAAGCUGCGGCAGCGACACUAUGUGUUGUUGGGUAGGGGAGCGUUCUGUAAGCCUGUGAAGGUGGCCUGUGAGGGUUGCUGGAGGUAUCAGAAGUGCGAAUGCUGACAUAAGUAACGAUAAAGCGGGUGAAAAGCCCGCUCGCCGGAAGACCAAGGGUUCCUGUCCAACGUUAAUCGGGGCAGGGUGAGUCGACCCCUAAGGCGAGGCCGAAAGGCGUAGUCGAUGGGAAACAGGUUAAUAUUCCUGUACUUGGUGUUACUGCGAAGGGGGGACGGAGAAGGCUAUGUUGGCCGGGCGACGGUUGUCCCGGUUUAAGCGUGUAGGCUGGUUUUCCAGGCAAAUCCGGAAAACCAAGGCUGAGGCGUGAUGACGAGGCACUACGGUGCUGAAGCGACAAAUGCCCUGCUUCCAGGAAAAGCCUCUAAGCAUCAGGUAACAUCAAAUCGUACCCCAAACCGACACAGGUGGUCAGGUAGAGAAUACCAAGGCGCUUGAGAGAACUCGGGUGAAGGAACUAGGCAAAAUGGUGCCGUAACUUCGGGAGAAGGCACGCUGAUAUGUAGGUGAAGCGACUUGCUCGUGGAGCUGAAAUCAGUCGAAGAUACCAGCUGGCUGCAACUGUUUAUUAAAAACACAGCACUGUGCAAACACGAAAGUGGACGUAUACGGUGUGACGCCUGCCCGGUGCCGGAAGGUUAAUUGAUGGGGUUAGCGGUAACGCGAAGCUCUUGAUCGAAGCCCCGGUAAACGGCGGCCGUAACUAUAACGGUCCUAAGGUAGCGAAAUUCCUUGUCGGGUAAGUUCCGACCUGCACGAAUGGCGUAAUGAUGGCCAGGCUGUCUCCACCCGAGACUCAGUGAAAUUGAACUCGCUGUGAAGAUGCAGUGUACCCGCGGCAAGACGGAAAGACCCCGUGAACCUUUACUAUAGCUUGACACUGAACAUUGAGCCUUGAUGUGUAGGAUAGGUGGGAGGCUUUGAAGUGUGGACGCCAGUCUGCAUGGAGCCGACCUUGAAAUACCACCCUUUAAUGUUUGAUGUUCUAACGUUGGCCCGUAAUCCGGGUUGCGGACAGUGUCUGGUGGGUAGUUUGACUGGGGCGGUCUCCUCCUAAAGAGUAACGGAGGAGCACGAAGGUUGGCUAAUCCUGGUCGGACAUCAGGAGGUUAGUGCAAUGGCAUAAGCCAGCUUGACUGCGAGCGUGACGGCGCGAGCAGGUGCGAAAGCAGGUCAUAGUGAUCCGGUGGUUCUGAAUGGAAGGGCCAUCGCUCAACGGAUAAAAGGUACUCCGGGGAUAACAGGCUGAUACCGCCCAAGAGUUCAUAUCGACGGCGGUGUUUGGCACCUCGAUGUCGGCUCAUCACAUCCUGGGGCUGAAGUAGGUCCCAAGGGUAUGGCUGUUCGCCAUUUAAAGUGGUACGCGAGCUGGGUUUAGAACGUCGUGAGACAGUUCGGUCCCUAUCUGCCGUGGGCGCUGGAGAACUGAGGGGGGCUGCUCCUAGUACGAGAGGACCGGAGUGGACGCAUCACUGGUGUUCGGGUUGUCAUGCCAAUGGCACUGCCCGGUAGCUAAAUGCGGAAGAGAUAAGUGCUGAAAGCAUCUAAGCACGAAACUUGCCCCGAGAUGAGUUCUCCCUGACUCCUUGAGAGUCCUGAAGGAACGUUGAAGACGACGACGUUGAUAGGCCGGGUGUGUAAGCGCAGCGAUGCGUUGAGCUAACCGGUACUAAUGAACCGUGAGGCUUAACCUU
RNAcentral lists this ribosomal RNA (2761 nucleotides) under Escherichia coli. RNAcentral's name for it is "bacterial LSU rRNA". It matches the Rfam family "Bacterial large subunit ribosomal RNA". Lineage: Bacteria; Pseudomonadati; Pseudomonadota; Gammaproteobacteria; Enterobacterales; Enterobacteriaceae. The record is from RNAcentral.